AUGACAUCCAACAGCAGCAUGGCAUGGGGCCUCGUGCUAUUGUUUAAUGAAAAAGGAACAGUGGCGUUUCCCACACUGGCUCAUUGUUGCUCUCAGCUGAUCUGUCUCAACGGGCUGAGGCCUGUCAAACGCUGCAUUUAGGUCCAGGCAGCUCUGAUCAACUCAGAACAAAGUGGAACAAACAGACACCCUCCUGCUGGAGCUUACAGGUAUUACACACACUCACUUCACUUCUUGGUAUCUAUCUAUCUAUCUAUCUAUCUAUCUAUCUAUCUAUCUAUCUAUCUAUCUAUCUAUCUAUCAUCUGUCUGUCUGUCUGUCUGUCUGUCUGUCUGUCCAUCUUUCGUUUUGUCAUUCUAUCUAUCGUUCUAUACAUCUGUCUAUCUAAGAGUUCCUAACACACAUGUCCUGUCGGCUGAAAGCAGAGCACAGGAUGUGUGAAAAGGCCACAGAAAAUGGGCUCCCUGAAGGGGAAUGGCAUCUCAGAUACUACUUCCUCUCCUAACACAGGAUGUUUUCUACAGUUUCAUGUAGUGUCAG
This is a long non-coding RNA of Cyprinus carpio carpio, 540 nucleotides long. NCBI's taxonomy places the organism in Eukaryota, Metazoa, Chordata, Actinopteri, Cypriniformes, Cyprinidae. The record is from Ensembl.